GAUCAGUCUGGAUGGUCCCGGUGGCCUGAUAAAAUCACAGGAUCCUUCACUGUGGAAGAGGGAGGCAGAAGAGGAGUCGGAGGAAGAUGUGUCCGUGGAGGAAGGAAUAUCACAAGCAGCUUUAAGAGAUGCGUGCAAAC
This 140-nucleotide long non-coding RNA is filed under the name Mustela putorius furo (domestic ferret). Its description in RNAcentral is "lncRNA (ENSMPUG00000031440.1)". The record is from RNAcentral. Lineage: Eukaryota; Metazoa; Chordata; Mammalia; Carnivora; Mustelidae.